This 653-nucleotide ribosomal RNA is filed under the name uncultured bacterium. RNAcentral describes it as "bacterial SSU rRNA". It matches the Rfam family "Bacterial small subunit ribosomal RNA", at positions 232 to 884 of the family's 1533-position model. The record is from RNAcentral.
CGCGGCCUAUCAGCUUGUUGGUGGGGUAAUGGCCUACCAAGGCUUCGACGGGUAGCCGGCCUGAGAGGGUGACCGGCCACACUGGGACUGAGACACGGCCCAGACUCCUACGGGAGGCAGCAGUGGGGAAUAUUGGACAAUGGGCGGAAGCCUGAUCCAGCAACGCCGCGUGAGGGAUGACGGCCUUCGGGUUGUAAACCUCUUUCAGCACAGACGAAGUUGCCCUUUUGGGGUGGUGACGGUAUGUGCAGAAGAAGCACCGGCCAACUACGUGCCAGCAGCCGCGGUAAUACGUAGGGUGCGAGCGUUGUCCGGAAUUAUUGGGCGUAAAGGGCUCGUAGGCGGUCUGUCGCGUCGGGAGUGAAAUCCACUGGCUUAACUGGUGGCUUGCUUUCGAUACGGGCAGACUGGAGGUAUGCAGGGGAGAACGGAAUUCCUGGUGUAGCGGUGAAAUGCGCAGAUAUCAGGAGGAACACCGGUGGCGAAGGCGGUUCUCUGGGCAUGUCCUGACGCUGAGGAGCGAAAGUGUGGGGAGCGAACAGGAUUAGAUACCCUGGUAGUCCACACCGUAAACGUUGGGCGCUAGGUGUGGGAUCCAUUCCACGGGUUCCGUGCCGCAGCUAACGCAUUAAGCGCCCCGCCUGGGGAGUACG